AGAGUUUGAUCAUGGCUCAGGAUGAACGCUAGCUACAGGCUUAACACAUGCAAGUCGAGGGGCAGCAUGUCGGUUGCUUGCAACCGACGAUGGCGACCGGCGCACGGGUGAGUAACGCGUAUCCAACCUACCCUUGUCCAUCGGAUAACCCGUCGAAAGGCGGCCUAACACGAUAUGCGGUUCUCAGCAGGCAUCUAACGAGAACGAAAUGUGAAGGAGAAGGAUGGGGAUGCGUCUGAUUAGCUUGUUGGCGGGGUAACGGCCCACCAAGGCGACGAUCAGUAGGGGUUCUGAGAGGAAGGUCCCCCACAUUGGAACUGAGACACGGUCCAAACUCCUACGGGAGGCAGCAGUGAGGAAUAUUGGUCAAUGGACGGGAGUCUGAACCAGCCAAGUAGCGUGCAGGACGACGGCCCUAUGGGUUGUAAACUGCUUUUAUAGGGGGAUAAAGUGUGCCACGUGUGGCAUAUUGCAGGUACCCUAUGAAUAGGGACCGGCUAAUUCCGUGCCAGCAGCCGCGGUAAUACGGAAGGUCCGGGCGUUAUCCGGAUUUAUUGGGUUUAAAGGGAGCGUAGGCCGUCUUAUAAGCGUGUUGUGAAAUGUCGGGGCUCAACCUGGGCAUUGCAGCGCGAACUGUGAGACUUGAGUGCGCAGGAAGUAGGCGGAAUUCGUCGUGUAGCGGUGAAAUGCUUAGAUAUGACGAAGAACUCCGAUUGCGAAGGCAGCCUGCUGUAGCGCAACUGACGCUGAAGCUCGAAAGCGUGGGUAUCGAACAGGAUUAGAUACCCUGGUAGUCCACGCGGUAAACGAUGGAUGCUCGCUGUUUGCGUCUGACGUAAGCGGCCAAGCGAAAGCGUUAAGCAUCCCACCUGGGGAGUACGCCGGCAACGGUGAAACUCAAAGGAAUUGACGGGGGCCCGCACAAGCGGAGGAACAUGUGGUUUAAUUCGAUGAUACGCGAGGAACCUUACCCGGGCUUGAGCUGUAGGCGAACGAUUCAGAGAUGAAGAGGCCCUUCGGGGCGCCUAUGGAGGUGCUGCAUGGUUGUCGUCAGCUCGUGCCGUGAGGUGUCGGCUUAAGUGCCAUAACGAGCGCAACCCUUGUUCGUAGUUGCCAUCGGUUAAAGCCGGGCACUCUGCGAAGACUGCCUCCGUAAGGAGUGAGGAAGGUGGGGAUGACGUCAAAUCAGCACGGCCCUUACGUCCG
RNAcentral lists this ribosomal RNA (1206 nucleotides) under metagenome. RNAcentral's name for it is "bacterial SSU rRNA". It matches the Rfam family "Bacterial small subunit ribosomal RNA", at positions 8 to 1210 of the family's 1533-position model. The record is from RNAcentral.